GACGAACGCUGGCGGCGUGCUUAACACAUGCAAGUCGAACGGAAAGGCCCUGCUUUUGUGGGGUGCUCGAGUGGCGAACGGGUGAGUAACACGUGAGUAACCUGCCCUUGACUUUGGGAUAACUUCAGGAAACUGGGGCUAAUACCGGAUAGGAGCUCCUGCUGCAUGGUGGGGGUUGGAAAGUUUCGGCGGUUGGGGUUGGACUCGCGGCUUAUCAGCUUGUUGGUGGGGUAGUGGCUUACCAAGGCUUUGACGGGUAGCCGGCCUGAGAGGGUGACCGGCCACAUUGGGACUGAGACACGGCCCAGACUCCUACGGGAGGCAGCAGUGGGGGAUAGUGCACAAUGGGCGGAAGCCUGAUGCAGCAACGCCGCGUGCGGGAUGACGGCCUUCGGGUUGUAAACCGCUUUCGCCUGUGACGAAGCGUGAGUGACGGUAAUGGGUAAAGAAGCACCGGCUAACUACGUG
RNAcentral lists this ribosomal RNA (468 nucleotides) under uncultured bacterium. Its description in RNAcentral is "partial 16S ribosomal RNA". It matches the Rfam family "Bacterial small subunit ribosomal RNA", at positions 28 to 507 of the family's 1533-position model. The record is from RNAcentral.